CAGUCGCCGCGGGAAUACAGAGGGUGCUAGCGUUAAUCGGAUUUACUGGGCGUAAAGCGUGCGUAGGCGGCUUCUUAAGUCGGAUGUGAAAUCCCUGAGCUUAACUUAGGAAUUGCAUUCGAUACUGGGAAGCUAGAGUAUGGGAGAGGAUGGUAGAAUUCCAGGUGUAGCGGUGAAAUGCGUAGAGAUCUGGAGGAAUACCGAUGGCGAAGGCAGCCAUCUGGCCUAAUACUGACGCUGAGGUACGAAAGCAUGGGGAGCAAACAGGAUUAGAUACCCCCGUAGUCCCUGUCUCUUAUAC
This 301-nucleotide ribosomal RNA is filed under the name uncultured bacterium. RNAcentral describes it as "partial 16S ribosomal RNA". It matches the Rfam family "Bacterial small subunit ribosomal RNA", at positions 509 to 807 of the family's 1533-position model. The record is from RNAcentral.